UACGGAGGGUGCGAGCGUUAAUCGGAAUUACUGGGCGUAAAGCGGGCGUAGGCGGCUUGUUAAGUCGGAUGUGAAAGCCCCGGGCUUAACCUGGGAAUUGCAUUCGAUACUGGCUGGCUAGAGUGUGGUAGAGGGUAGCGGAAUUCCCGGUGUAGCGGUGAAAUGCGUAGAUAUCGGGAAGAACACCAGUGGCGAAGGCGGCUACCUGGACCAACACUGACGCUGAGGUCCGAAAGCGUGGGGAGCAAACAGG
RNAcentral lists this unclassified non-coding RNA (253 nucleotides) under uncultured Gammaproteobacteria bacterium. RNAcentral's name for it is "contains 16S-23S intergenic spacer region". It matches the Rfam family "Bacterial small subunit ribosomal RNA", at positions 524 to 776 of the family's 1533-position model. The record is from RNAcentral. Lineage: Bacteria; Pseudomonadati; Pseudomonadota; Gammaproteobacteria.